Molecule: ribosomal RNA, 253 nt
Filed under: uncultured bacterium
Lineage: Bacteria
Description: partial 16S ribosomal RNA
Rfam family: Bacterial small subunit ribosomal RNA
Source: RNAcentral
UACGGAGGGAGCUAGCGUUGUUCGGAAUUACUGGGCGUAAAGCGCACGUAGGCGGCUCUGUAAGUUAGAGGUGAAAGCCUGGAGCUCAACUCCAGAAUUGCCUUUAAGACUGCAUCGCUUGAAUCCAGGAGAGGUGAGUGGAAUUCCGAGUGUAGAGGUGAAAUUCGUAGAUAUUCGGAAGAACACCAGUGGCGAAGGCGGCUCACUGGACUGGUAUUGACGCUGAGGUGCGAAAGCGUGGGGAGCAAACAGG